This 302-nucleotide long non-coding RNA is filed under the name Elaeis guineensis (African oil palm). RNAcentral's name for it is "long non-coding RNA (EGUI_LNC063896)". The record is from RNAcentral. Lineage: Eukaryota; Viridiplantae; Streptophyta; Magnoliopsida; Arecales; Arecaceae.
CCCACAGCCUUGUCAGGAACAGGAGGAGAACCUCAUCCUAACAUGAGCAAAGUCGAAGGCCCAGUUUUUUAAAAGAUCGGAUGGGGGGAGAGGCCCUCACAACUGCCCUUGUGUGCCCCCACGCCUUGUUAGAAAUAGGAGGAGAAUCUCAUCCUAACAUGAGCAAAGUCGAAGGUCCGAUUUCCUAAAGAUCGGAUGAGGAGAGAGGCCCUCACAACGGCCCUUAUGUGCCCCCACAGCCUUGUUAGGAACAGGAGGAGAAUCUCAUCCUAACAUGAGCAAAGUCAAAGGCCCAAUUUUCU